GGGCAACUUGAUUUGAAUGAUUAAUGUAAUCAUCAAAGCUCAUAUCAGGUUGGCCCACAGCCCUACAUUCGAUAUCUACUGGCUCUUCACAGAUCUCUUUUCCAUUUUCAGCUAUGUUUUUAUAAGUCUCCAAGUCAUCCCAUCCUCCUACUGCAGGAUUAUAUACAUUAAACCAGUCAGACCACCAACAUAUCAUACAAAAUGUUGUAGUAGAGGAUUCUGUCAUAGUUGUCGGUGUAGGGGUAGAUGAUGUGGUAGGUCCUGGUGUUGUUGUAGUAGACGUUGUAGUAGUUGUCGGUGCAGGGGUAGAUGAUGUAGUAGGUUCUGGUGUUGUAGUAGUAUACAUUGUAGUAGUUGUCGGCGUAGCGGUAGAUGAUGUGGUAGGUUCUGGUGUUGUAGUAGACUUUGUUGUAGUUGUUGGUAUAGUAGAUGAUGUGGUAUGUUCUGGUGUUGUUGUAGUAGGUAUAGUAGUUGUCAGUGUUGGAGUAGAUGAUGUGGUAGGUUCUGGUGUUGUUGUAGUAGUUGUCGGUGUAGGGGUAGAUGAUGUGGUAGGUUCUGGUGUUGUUGUAGUAGUCUUUGUUGUGGUAGAUGAUGUGGUAGGUUCUGGUGUUGUAGUAGUAGAUGUAGUAGUUGUCAGUGUUGGAGUAAAUGAUGUGGU
Molecule: long non-coding RNA, 658 nt
Organism: Cyprinus carpio (common carp)
Lineage: Eukaryota; Metazoa; Chordata; Actinopteri; Cypriniformes; Cyprinidae
Source: Ensembl